RNAcentral lists this ribosomal RNA (253 nucleotides) under uncultured bacterium. RNAcentral's name for it is "partial 16S ribosomal RNA". It matches the Rfam family "Bacterial small subunit ribosomal RNA", at positions 524 to 776 of the family's 1533-position model. The record is from RNAcentral.
UACGUAGGGGGCGAGCGUUGUCCGGAUUUAUUGGGCGUAAAGAGCGUGUAGGCGGCCAGGUAGGUCUGCUGUGAAAACUCGAGGCUCAACCUCGAGACGUCGGCGGAAACCAUCUGGCUAGAGUCCGGAAGAGGAGAGUGGAAUUCCUGGUGUAGCGGUGAAAUGCGCAGAUAUCAGGAAGAACACCCGUGGCGAAGGCGGCAUCCUGGACCGGUAUUGACGCUGAGGCGCGAAAGCUAGGGGAGCAAACGGG